UACAUGCAAGUNGAACGAGAAACCCUGACUUCGGUUGGGGCGGUAAAGUGGCGAACGGGUGAGUAACACGUGGAUAAUCUACCUCAUAGUCUGGGAUACUCCUUCGAAAGAGGGCUUAAUACCGGAUAAUAUCUUCUGAUGGCAUCAUCGGAAAAUCAAAGGCGGGGUAACCUGCCGCUAAGAGAUGAGUCCGCGCUCCAUUAGCUUGUUGGUGAGGUAAAGGCUCACCAAGGCUGCGAUGGAUAGCCGGCCUGAGAGGGUGAACGGCCACACUGGGACUGAGAUACGGCCCAGACUCCUACGGGAGGCAGCAGUAGGGAAUAUUGCGCAAUGGACGAAAGUCUGACGCAGCAACGCCGCGUGGGUGAUGACGCAUUUUGGUGUGUAAAGCCCAGUUAGGAGGGAAGAACCACAUUGGUAGUAACUGACCAGUGUCUGACGGUACCUCCAGAGAAAGCACCGGCUAACUCCGUGCCAGCAGCCGCGGUAAUACGGGGGGUGCAAGCGUUGUUCGGAUUUACUGGGCGUAAAGGGCGCGUAGGCGGACUUGUAAGUCAGAUGUGAAAACUAUCGGCUCAACCGGUAGCCUGCAUUUGAAACUGCAAGUCUUGAGUACAGGAGAGGAAAGCGGAAUUCCAGGUGUAGCGGUGAAAUGCGUAGAUAUCUGGAAGAACACCAGUUGCGAAGGCGGCUUUCUGGACUGAUACUGACGCUAAAGCGCGAAGGCUUGGGUAGCAAACAGGAUUAGAUACCCUGGUAGUCCAAGCGGUAAACGAUGGGUACUAGGUGUCAGGGGUCUCGACCCCCUUGGUGCCGCAGCUAACGCAUUAAGUACCCCGCCUGGGGAGUAUGAUCGCAAGAUUGAAACUCAAAUGAAUUGACGG
Molecule: ribosomal RNA, 884 nt
Filed under: uncultured bacterium
Lineage: Bacteria
Description: bacterial SSU rRNA
Rfam family: Bacterial small subunit ribosomal RNA
Source: RNAcentral